ACUACGAGCACCAGCUUGAAACCCAAAGGACUUGGCGGUGCUUUAGAUCCACCUAGAGGAGCCUGUCCUAGAACCGAUAACCCCCGUUUAACCUCACCCUUCCUUGUUUCUCCCGCCUAUAUACCGCCGUCGUCAGCUUACCCUGUGAAGGUCUCAUAGUAAGCAAAAUUGGCACAGCCUAAAACGUCAGGUCGAGGUGUAGCGUAUGGAAGGGGAAGAGAUGGGCUACAUUCCCUAAUAUAAGUGAAUACGAACGAUGUGCUGAAACACACAUCCAAAGGAGGAUUUAGUAGU
Molecule: ribosomal RNA, 294 nt
Filed under: Percalates novemaculeata (Australian bass)
Lineage: Eukaryota; Metazoa; Chordata; Actinopteri; Centrarchiformes
Description: partial 12S ribosomal RNA
Rfam family: Bacterial small subunit ribosomal RNA
Source: RNAcentral